This 392-nucleotide ribosomal RNA is filed under the name Leptonetela kanellisi. RNAcentral's name for it is "partial large subunit ribosomal RNA". It matches the Rfam family "Bacterial large subunit ribosomal RNA", at positions 1928 to 2607 of the family's 2925-position model. Lineage: Eukaryota; Metazoa; Arthropoda; Arachnida; Araneae; Leptonetidae. The record is from RNAcentral.
UGGCCGCAGAAUACUGUGCUAAGGUAGCAUAAUCAUUUGUCUUAUGAUUGAAGACCAGAAUGAAAGGCUUAACGUGUAAAUCAUUAUCAUCCAUUAAUUCUAUUAAAUUAUAACAAAUAUUAAAAUAUAUUUAUUCAUCAAAAAGACGACAAGACCCUUUUGAACUUCACUAAAGUUAAACUGGGGCAGUUUAUCAACAACCUCUUAAUACACUCAAUUAACUCUCAUCCCUUCACAAGAUUAAACAAGUUACCAUAGGGAUAACAGCGCAAUUUUUCUCCUUAGCUCUCAUAUAAAGAAAAGAUUACGACCUCGAUGUUGAAUUAAUAAACCUAAUAGAAGCAAAAUUCUAUAAGAAAGUUUGUUCGACUUUUAAUUUAUUACAUGAUUUG